UGGGGAAUUUUGGACAAUGGGGGAAACCCUGAUCCAGCCAUCCCGCGUGUGCGAUGAAGGCCUUCGGGUUGUAAAGCACUUUUGGCAGGAAAGAAACGUCAUGGGUUAAUACCCCGUGAAACUGACGGUACCUGCAGAAUAAGCACCGGCUAACUACGUGCCAGCAGCCGCGGUAAUACGUAGGGUGCAAGCGUUAAUCGGAAUUACUGGGCGUAAAGCGUGCGCAGGCGGUUCGGGAAGAAAGAUGUGAAAUCCCAGAGCUCAACUUUGGAACUGCAUUUUUAACUACCGGGCUAGAGUGUGUCAGAGGGAGGUAGAAUUCCGCGUGUAGCAGUGAAAUGCGUAGAUAUGCGGAGGAACACCGAUGGCGAAGGCAGCCUCCUGGGAUAACACUGACGCUAAUGCACGAAAGCGUGGGGAGCAAACAGG
This 429-nucleotide ribosomal RNA is filed under the name Acidobacteriota bacterium. Its description in RNAcentral is "Acidobacteria bacterium partial 16S ribosomal RNA". It matches the Rfam family "Bacterial small subunit ribosomal RNA", at positions 355 to 776 of the family's 1533-position model. The record is from RNAcentral. Lineage: Bacteria; Pseudomonadati; Acidobacteriota.